UACCUAUACGUCGGACACAACACAUAACAAGUAGCGUAUAUGACUCAACUCCUAUUUCCUCAAGCCAAAUUUAGACCGAACACUUACCUCGAAUGCUCCAAAGUCAACUCAAGCCUCUAGUAUAGCUUUACCUCUCGAAUUCACCACAAAACCGCUUGAAUCUUGUCACAAAUUACAUGAAAGUAUCAACAAAUAAUAAUUGAAUCAAUUUGAAU
RNAcentral lists this long non-coding RNA (215 nucleotides) under Nicotiana benthamiana. RNAcentral's name for it is "long non-coding RNA (NBEN_LNC014934)". Lineage: Eukaryota; Viridiplantae; Streptophyta; Magnoliopsida; Solanales; Solanaceae. The record is from RNAcentral.